This 507-nucleotide ribosomal RNA is filed under the name uncultured bacterium. Its description in RNAcentral is "partial 16S ribosomal RNA". It matches the Rfam family "Bacterial small subunit ribosomal RNA", at positions 30 to 523 of the family's 1533-position model. The record is from RNAcentral.
AUUGAACGCUGGCGGCAGGCCUAACACAUGCAAGCCGAGCGGCAGCGGGUAGAAAGCUUGCUUUCUAUGCCGGCGAGCGGCGGACGGGUGAGGAAUACCUAGGAAUCUGUCCAUUAGUGGGGAAUAACCAGCCGCAAGGAUGGCUAAUAACGCAUACGCCCUACGGGGGAAAGGGGGGAUCUUCGGACCUCUCGCUAAUAGGUGAGCCUAGGUCGGAUUAGCUAGUUGGUGGGGUAAAGGCCUACCAAGGCGACGCUCCGUAGUUGGUCUGAGAGGAUGACCAGCCACACUGGGACUGAGACACGGCCCAGACUCCUACGGGAGGCAGCAGUGGGGAAUAUUGCACAAUGGGCGAAAGCCUGAUGCAGCCAUGCCGCGUGUGUGAAGAAGGCCUUCGGGUUGUAAAGCACUUUAGGCGGGGAGGAAAGGUUAACGAUUAAUACUCGUUAGCUGUGACGUUACCCGCAGAAUAAGCACCGGCUAACUCCGUGCCAGCAGCCGCGGUAA